AUAAUCUGGUUUCUCUUCAGAUCACAUAGAUCUAUCUCCUUUUACUAAAGAUUUCUGUGGAGAGGAACAAUUUUGAGUUUUACUCAAUUUUUUGAGGACUUACACUUGCAAGACU
Molecule: small nuclear RNA, 115 nt
Organism: Camelus dromedarius (Arabian camel)
Lineage: Eukaryota; Metazoa; Chordata; Mammalia; Artiodactyla; Camelidae
Gene: U5
Rfam family: U5 spliceosomal RNA
About the family: U5 RNA is a component of both types of known spliceosome. The precise function of this molecule is unknown, though it is known that the 5' loop is required for splice site selection and p220 binding, and that both the 3' stem-loop and the Sm site are important for Sm protein binding and cap methylation.
Source: Ensembl